RNAcentral lists this ribosomal RNA (253 nucleotides) under uncultured bacterium. Its description in RNAcentral is "partial 16S ribosomal RNA". It matches the Rfam family "Bacterial small subunit ribosomal RNA", at positions 524 to 776 of the family's 1533-position model. The record is from RNAcentral.
UACAGAGGUCUCAAGCGUUGUUCGGAUUCAUUGGGCGUAAAGGGUGCGUAGGCGGCGCGGUAAGUCGGGUGUGAAAUCUCGGAGCUUAACUCCGAAACUGCAUUCGAUACUGCCGUGCUUGAGGACUGGAGAGGAGACUGGAAUUUACGGUGUAGCGGUGAAAUGCGUAGAUAUCAUGAGGAAGACCAGUGGCGAAGGCGGAUCUCUGGACAGUUCCUGACACUGAGGCACGAAGGCCAGGGGAGCAAACGGG